GUGAGGCAUGCUGGAGGUAUCAGAAGUGCGAAUGCUGACAUAAGUAACGAUAAUGCGGGUGAAAAACCCGCACGCCGGAAGACCAAGGGUUCCUGUCCAACGUUAAUCGGGGCAGGGUGAGUCGACCCCUAAGGCGAGGCCGAAAGGCGUAGUCGAUGGGAAACAGGUUAAUAUUCCUGUACUUGGUGUUACUGCGAAGGGGGGACGGAGAAGGCUAUGUUAGCCGGGCGACGGUUGUCCCGGUUUAAGCAU
Molecule: ribosomal RNA, 252 nt
Filed under: Citrobacter sp. Ce105
Lineage: Bacteria; Pseudomonadati; Pseudomonadota; Gammaproteobacteria; Enterobacterales; Enterobacteriaceae
Description: partial 23S ribosomal RNA
Rfam family: Bacterial large subunit ribosomal RNA
Source: RNAcentral